GAUGCAGAGCAAUCUCCACAAUGUAGAAUUUUAGAUACGAAUUGUAAGGAGAAUGUCUAUGUACAAAAAUGAGUAGCACGGCACACUACACAAAAGUCAGACUGUAUUUCACAAGUUGCUUUUUAACUUUUUCAUACAACAUGGAGUUAUUUGUAUGGCUGCAGUUUGGCAUCCAGUGUGUCAUAAUCCAAGGUGGCCAUGCCCAACAGUAGGUGAUCAGAGAAAGCGUCAACAGAUUGUCCUGCAUUGCAUUGUACUUGCAAGUAUUCACCUGGCAUGCAAUUUACCCAAGUUUUUGUUUCUCUAUACAGGAAGUCAGCAGCUGUCCAAAUUUUAAGUAAAAAAAAAAGGAAAUAGAAGACGCCGAGACAAGGAUGAUGCUUGCCAGUAUCACAGCACAUUGGACAUUUUUCCAGUCCAGUAUGUAUCCCAGACACGUGAAAAAAGGGCUGUAAAGAAGUACUUGUCCAUUGGCUCCCGUGUCCGUCGUGGUAAUGGCAGCUUUCUUGUUUAACUGACUUAUGAGUUGUCUUUAAUGGGACAAUUAAACCUAAUUAAAAAGCCUGUCUGAUUUGCUAUUAACUCUU
This is a long non-coding RNA of Misgurnus anguillicaudatus (oriental weatherfish), 587 nucleotides long. RefSeq lists it as uncharacterized. The record is from RefSeq and is a predicted model, not a curated record. Lineage: Eukaryota; Metazoa; Chordata; Actinopteri; Cypriniformes; Cobitidae.